Molecule: ribosomal RNA, 253 nt
Filed under: uncultured bacterium
Lineage: Bacteria
Description: partial 16S ribosomal RNA
Rfam family: Bacterial small subunit ribosomal RNA
Source: RNAcentral
UACGGAGGAUCCAAGCGUUAUCCGGAAUCAUUGGGCGUAAAGAGCGUGUAGGCGGCCCGAUAAGUCCGCCGUGAAAGUCCAGGGCUCAACCCUGGAAUGCCGGUGGAAACUGUCGGGCUGGAGUCCGGAAGAGGCGAGUGGAAUUCCUGGUGUAGCGGUGAAAUGCGCAGAUAUCAGGAGGAACACCUAUUGCGAAGGCAGCUCGCUGGGACGUAACUGACGCUGAGACGCGAAAGCGUGGGGAGCAAACAGG